UACCAGCUCUCCGAGUGGUAGGGAUGAUUAUUGGGCUCAAAGCGUCCGUAGCCGGCUUAGCAAGUUUCCUGUUAAACCCAGCGACUCAAUCGUUGGAUCGCGGGAAAUACUACUAGGCUAGGAGGCGGGAGAGGUCAACGGUACUUCUGGGGUAGGGGUGAAAUCCUAUAAUCCCGGGAGGACCACCAGUGGCGAAGGCUGUUGACUAGAACGCGCUCGACGGUGAGGGACGAAAGCUGGGGUAGCAAACCGGAUUAGAUACCCGGGUAGUCCCAGCUGUAAACGAUGCGAGCUAGGUGUUGGGAUGGCUACGGGCCAUUUCAGUGCCGCAGGGAAGCCAUUAAGCUCGCCGCCUGGGGAGUACGGCCGCAAGGCUGAAACUUAAAGGAAUUGGCGGGGGAGCACCACAAGGCGUGAAGCUUGCGGUUC
Molecule: ribosomal RNA, 429 nt
Filed under: uncultured archaeon
Lineage: Archaea
Description: bacterial SSU rRNA
Rfam family: Archaeal small subunit ribosomal RNA
Source: RNAcentral